ACGACUUGAGCCAUUGCAGAGCGCCCCUGGGAUCCGGCUGGAUGCACCACAUUCCAAUGCGAAGCAGCUUCUCGGCCUUAGAGAUCGAAGCUUCUCAAACGCCCAUGCCGCCAGGAACUUUGCCUCCCGCAAGACAGAAAGCUUGUAGUCCAGUUGCCAUUUGCAGCACAAGGAUCCCAAAGCUGUAGACGUCCAGUUUGUCGCUCACUCUCAUCUCAUGUAUCCGGGUGUUCCUCGGAUCAUGGUCAUGACAUCGCUUAGAUCUCCUUGCUCUACCAUCCUGCCGUGCCAAAGCGAUUUUCUUACUGAAGGAGUGUGGAGCUCCGGGUACGUGAAGACGCACGCGCACCACGUCCAUAGCACCGGAUGGAAACGAUGGUUUGUAGUGUUUGAGCCAUGGUUGCCACAGAGAAAGCCCCGACGAUGGCUGGCUUUGCCUUUUUCUGUUGCUUGGCUUCUUUGUUCUGCGAGCUGCCUGGUGCUGAGAGCUUUGGAAGAUCUCCAGCUUGGUACAACUUGAUCGAAAACAGCGAAGCUUGAUCGGCGACGUUGCGAGUUCUGUUCAGAGCAAAAACUUCAUUCAUCUGGAAACAGGUACUCGUUUUCUCCUGGCUUAGCACUACUUUGCACGAACAGUUUUUGAUACACAUGGCCAUGCAUGCUGCUGGAGUGACGUUGUGGAGCGCACUGGAUAAAUCUAGAGGUUUGUAGAAGUAUCGUACUGU
Molecule: long non-coding RNA, 725 nt
Organism: Selaginella moellendorffii
Lineage: Eukaryota; Viridiplantae; Streptophyta; Lycopodiopsida; Selaginellales; Selaginellaceae
Exons: 3
Source: RefSeq, a predicted model, not a curated record